AGCCAGUGCUCUUAACCACUGAGCUAUCUCUCCAGCCCCAGACAUUAUUUUAUUGUAUGGGCCAGGCUGGCUUUGGACAUGGUUCUCUUGUCUUGGCCUGCUGGGUGCUAGGAUGACGGGUGUGCCCCUCCCUGCCACGCCCCCUCUCUUGUUCCCUGUGGGACCGCUGUCCUUGUCUCCGCCUGUGCAUGAACGAGUGUGUGUGUGCACACCAGCACGUACAAUCAAAUAUAUUGUUGUCUAAUAAGCUUACCUGCCUGAGCAAUUAAGAACAAGAACUCUAGGAGCUUUGGUUGGUUUCUAGUUAAGCAUUUCUCAGUGCACCCCCACCCCCUUGUCUGGCUUGUGAGGAGAAGUCAGAGGGAAUUCUUAAUGCUGAGCCCCUAAAAAUUAUUUUCUUCCUUUGUGUUCUUGCAAGGUUUGAAAAGUUGUCCUCAAGUCUGACCAUGCUAUGUCUAGAUGCAGCUUCCAUGCUUUGCAUUUCUCUACUUUUCUGUUACUUUUUGGCUAUGUAGCUUACUGCCCGACAUUAAUUAAAGGAGAUUAAAAUGUCAUUUUGUUUUGUUUUAAAUACUGUGUCUAUUUCCUCCUUCUUCUCAUCCCGCUGUCCGCAUUGUGAGUAGCUGCGCACAGCUGUUCCGCAGUCCUUAGAUACUGGACUUUAAUUUUUCACCCCCCUUCCCUUCUCAGUUUUGGAAGGUUUUUCUGUUCAUAGUCUCAAGUUUAGAGAUGCUUUCCUCAUCAGCCUGCUAACGAGCCCAUCAACGUCAUUCUUUGGUUUGUUCGGCUUUUCACUUAUUGUUAGGGCAGAAUAACUUCCCAGCUGCUUGUGUGCUAGACUGGAAACCCAGUGUCCUUGGAGCAGAGCUGGAGAAUGACCCCCAGAGUCCUUCUACCAGAGGAGGCUUGCUGUCACCACCCAGCAAAUUCUUCCAAGGAGUUAUUGAAAUUCAUGAUGCUACCCUCUUUUCUGUGACAAAGGACAAGUGUUCCCGAUUGCUGACAUUAAUGGAACUUUCCCCCCUCUCCUAAAUGUGGUGGAAAAUGUCACUUUUCAAAGUGGGGAGAGAUAUCAUCAAAUUUAAGUGUUUGAAAUCCCUGUUGAGCCGUCAGCAAGCUCACCGAGGAUGGUCUGAAUUCUCUCCUCCUCAGUUCUGGGAAAAUGAAAAAGCAAAAAAAAAAAAAAAGUUUUAGUGUUGAGGCUUUUAAGACCAUUGGGAUUUUUAAACUUGAACUGAAUGCGUAUUAUGAGACAGCCCUGAGUCUGUGGGGUGAGGACCAGAAUGUUAUGGUUUAGGUGGAGCGUGUCCUCUAUGAGCUUGCCCAUGUGUUUGAACACAUGGUUAUCAGCUGGUGGUGCUGUUCUGGGAGCUUGUGGACCCUUUGGGAGAUAGGGCCUAGCCAGAGGAAGUGCAUCUCUGGGUGGGUUGGCUGGGGGUCCACCCCCACUUCCUGACUCACAUGAGCUCUCUGGGUCUCUGAGAUGUGAGUAAGCAGCUUCGUGUUCCCAUUGUCAUGGAGCUAGCUUGCUGCCAUGAUGGUUGUGUCCCCUCAAACUGUGAGCCCCAACAGGCUUCUCAUCCCUCUAAAGGAAUGGGUUUACUCCGAUGCCUGGGUUAGGCGAAUUGGAAGAUAGUUCUGUGUAUGCGUGUAUGUUUGUGUUCUGGGGAUUAAACCCAGGGCUUUGCACAUGCAAAUCAAACACCUUAAUAUUAAUGUACACAUCCAGCCCAGAAAAGGAGAGAAUUCAUUCUGCAGAGUACUCUAGCUCUGAAUGGGAGGAGAUAGACUAUAUGGAAGCUGGGAGGCAUACUCAGAGAGGUCCCAGGUAUCUUUUGAAAAGAAAAGUUAGAUGUUCAAAUGGAGGAAAUUAAAGAGAGACACGAGAAGGUGUCUAUGGCAGAAUAUGCCACUCAAAACAUAUCUGCAUGAGACCAGACUGUUAUCCCUCAGAAUGGGCCUGGAAGAGACACAGUAAGGCACUCAAAACAUGUCGCUUCAGCUGGAGGACUAUCUUGAGCACUAGCAGACAUAGAAAGAAUAUGUCUUCUGGUGUUCAUGGACAAGAGUACUCUCGGGUAUGGUCCAGAAGUAUAGAUCCCAGGCCAAAAGAAAUGUACAUGUUCUAUUCUGUUGGUAAAUGUCCAAUGACCUCUAAAGGAGGCAUGUCAUAUCCAUUCCUGUUGGUUGUGUGUUUGUGGAGGUUGCAUUGUGCUGCUCUGUGGUAAGAAGCAUAUUGCCACCGAGUUGAUUGCCCUCAGCCAUGACUCUGAAUCUGCUCCCCAACCCUGCCCUGACCCCCAUUGCUUCUAACUUGAAAAGAGCAAAUGUCUAUUUCGGCUCAUGGUUCCAGAGCUUGACAUUAUUGUCUAUUUUUCUGUUUCCUGGCCUCUGACUCACAAGAAAAACAACUUAGAAGUGACCAUUCUCUUUCCGCACCUUUCUGUAGGUAAGGCAUAGUCCUUCCGCACAGCCUGCCUGAACAUUGGUUCAGAUUUAUGGAAUGAGUGUCAUGAAUAAAAGUGGUCAAGAACUGUCAACUAACUCUGUUGCCCCUUUGUCCUCUGGCAGCAGUGUCAUACCUGAACGGAUCAGAAGGGAGCUUUGGCCUGAUUCCCCGGAGUUGUUAUGCUAUCAGCCUGCCUUCUGCAUGGAAGGAGCCGGGUCCUGGUCACAGGCAUAGAAUGACACCUGGAUACACAGCACAAGUCUGGGCACUGAAAGUCUCAUGUAGUCAGGAUGAAGAUGACUUUUAACUUCUGACGUUCCUUGAUUUCAGCUUCCAAGGGUAAGAUUACAGGACAUCACGUAAGAAGAGUCUUUUGUGUACUGCAGCCAAGAAACAGUCAAGUCGUAUUCAAUACUAGCUGUUCUCUUUACUGUGGAGAAGUAUUCUAUUGUUGAGGAUCAGGAAUUUAUGUGGAAGAGGAGGCAGAAAGAUUGUAAGAGCAGGAAGGUGGACUCCAAGGAAAGCAGGAAGUGGUGGACUCCAAGGAAACAGCCUUCCAGGAACAACAAGAUGGAGGCAAAUACGAACUCACAGACUGCAAUAGUAGGUGCAAGCCCAGCACUGAAAAGGGGAAGUGAAUGCAGAGCUCCAUCCCUAACCAAGGUACCUAUUUUCAACUGGUACCUGCUAGGAACAGGAAACUCAGUUUUCUCCAAUGGAAUGUCAUAUCACCCACACCCCAUGCCCAGGAGUACUUGGCCAACACAAAAUGGAUCCCAUUUUUUUUUUCGUGUGUGUGUGUGUGUGUG
Molecule: long non-coding RNA, 3258 nt
Organism: Peromyscus maniculatus bairdii (prairie deer mouse)
Lineage: Eukaryota; Metazoa; Chordata; Mammalia; Rodentia; Cricetidae
Source: RefSeq, a predicted model, not a curated record